RNAcentral lists this ribosomal RNA (276 nucleotides) under Escherichia coli. RNAcentral describes it as "partial 23S ribosomal RNA". It matches the Rfam family "Bacterial large subunit ribosomal RNA", at positions 1292 to 1571 of the family's 2925-position model. Lineage: Bacteria; Pseudomonadati; Pseudomonadota; Gammaproteobacteria; Enterobacterales; Enterobacteriaceae. The record is from RNAcentral.
GAAUGCUGACAUAAGUAACGAUAAAGCGGGUGAAAAGCCCGCUCGCCGGAAGACCAAGGGUUCCUGUCCAACGUUAAUCGGGGCAGGGUGAGUCGACCCCUAAGGCGAGGCCGAAAGGCGUAGUCGAUGGGAAACAGGUUAAUAUUCCUGUACUUGGUGUUACUGCGAAGGGGGGACGGAGAAGGCUAUGUUGGCCGGGCGACGGUUGUCCCGGUUUAAGCGUGUAGGCUGGUUUUCCAGGCAAAUCCGGAAAAUCAAGGCUGAGGCGUGAUGACG